RNAcentral lists this ribosomal RNA (389 nucleotides) under uncultured bacterium. Its description in RNAcentral is "bacterial SSU rRNA". It matches the Rfam family "Bacterial small subunit ribosomal RNA", at positions 30 to 418 of the family's 1533-position model. The record is from RNAcentral.
AUUGAACGCUGGCGGAAUGCUUUACACAUGCAAGUCGAACGGUAGAGGGGGGCAACCCCCUUGAGAGUGGCGAACGGGUGAGUAAUAUAUCGGAACGUGCCCAGUCGUGGGGAUAACGUAGCGAAAGUUACGCUAAUACCGCAUACGAUCUAAGGAUGAAAGCGGGGGACUCGCAAGAGCCUCGCGCGAUUGGAGCGGCCGAUAUCAGAUUAGGUAGUUGGUGGGGUAAAGGCUCACCAAGCCAACGAUCUGUAGCUGGUCUGAGAGGACGACCAGCCACACUGGGACUGAGACACGGCCCAGACUCCUACGGGAGGCAGCAGUGGGGAAUUUUGGACAAUGGGACGCGAAGCCUGAUCCAGCAAUGCCGCGUGCAGGAUGAAGGCCUU